GGGUUGUGAGGUUAAGCGACUAAGCGUACACGGUGGAUGCCCUGGCAGUCAGAGGCGAUGAAGGACGUGCUAAUCUGCGAUAAGCGUCGGUAAGGUGAUAUGAACCGUUAUAACCGGCGAUUUCCGAAUGGGGAAACCCAGUGUGUUUCGACACACUAUCAUUAACUGAAUCCAUAGGUUAAUGAGGCGAACCGGGGGAACUGAAACAUCUAAGUACCCCGAGGAAAAGAAAUCAACCGAGAUUCCCCCAGUAGCGGCGAGCGAACGGGGAGGAGCCCAGAGUCUGAAUCAGUGUGUGUGUUAGUGGAAGCGUCUGGAAAGGCGCGCGAUACAGGGUGACAGCCCCGUACACAAAAAUGCACAUACUGUGAGCUCGAUGAGUAGGGCGGGACACGUGGUAUCCUGUCUGAAUAUGGGGGGACCAUCCUCCAAGGCUAAAUACUCCUGACUGACCGAUAGUGAACCAGUACCGUGAGGGAAAGGCGAAAAGAACCCCGGCGAGGGGAGUGAAAAAGAACCUGAAACCGUGUACGUACAAGCAGUGGGAGCACGCUUAGGCGUGUGACUGCGUACCUUUUGUAUAAUGGGUCAGCGACUUAUAUUCUGUAGCAAGGUUAACCGAAUAGGGGAGCCGAAGGGAAACCGAGUCUUAACUGGGCGUUAAGUUGCAGGGUAUAGACCCGAAACCCGGUGAUCUAGCCAUGGGCAGGUUGAAGGUUGGGUAACACUAACUGGAGGACCGAACCGACUAAUGUUGAAAAAUUAGCGGAUGACUUGUGGCUGGGGGUGAAAGGCCAAUCAAACCGGGAGAUAGCUGGUUCUCCCCGAAAGCUAUUUAGGUAGCGCCUCGUGAAUUCAUCUCCGGGGGUAGAGCACUGUUUCGGCAAGGGGGUCAUCCCGACUUACCAACCCGAUGCAAACUGCGAAUACCGGAGAAUGUUAUCACGGGAGACACACGGCGGGUGCUAACGUCCGUCGUGAAGAGGGAAACAACCCAGACCGCCAGCUAAGGUCCCAAAGUCAUGGUUAAGUGGGAAACGAUGUGGGAAGGCCCAGACAGCCAGGAUGUUGGCUUAGAAGCAGCCAUCAUUUAAAGAAAGCGUAAUAGCUCACUGGUCGAGUCGGCCUGCGCGGAAGAUGUAACGGGGCUAAACCAUGCACCGAAGCUGCGGCAGCGACGCUUAUGCGUUGUUGGGUAGGGGAGCGUUCUGUAAGCCUGUGAAGGUGUGCUGUGAGGCAUGCUGGAGGUAUCAGAAGUGCGAAUGCUGACAUAAGUAACGAUAAAGCGGGUGAAAAGCCCGCUCGCCGGAAGACCAAGGGUUCCUGUCCAACGUUAAUCGGGGCAGGGUGAGUCGACCCCUAAGGCGAGGCCGAAAGGCGUAGUCGAUGGGAAACAGGUUAAUAUUCCUGUACUUGGUGUUACUGCGAAGGGGGGACGGAGAAGGCUAUGUUGGCCGGGCGACGGUUGUCCCGGUUUAAGCGUGUAGGCUGGUUUUCCAGGCAAAUCCGGAAAAUCAAGGCUGAGGCGUGAUGACGAGGCACUACGGUGCUGAAGCAACAAAUGCCCUGCUUCCAGGAAAAGCCUCUAAGCAUCAGGUAACAUCAAAUCGUACCCCAAACCGACACAGGUGGUCAGGUAGAGAAUACCAAGGCGCUUGAGAGAACUCGGGUGAAGGAACUAGGCAAAAUGGUGCCGUAACUUCGGGAGAAGGCACGCUGAUAUGUAGGUGAAGUCCCUUGCGGAUGGAGCUGAAAUCAGUCGAAGAUACCAGCUGGCUGCAACUGUUUAUUAAAAACACAGCACUGUGCAAACACGAAAGUGGACGUAUACGGUGUGACGCCUGCCCGGUGCCGGAAGGUUAAUUGAUGGGGUCAGCGCAAGCGAAGCUCUUGAUCGAAGCCCCGGUAAACGGCGGCCGUAACUAUAACGGUCCUAAGGUAGCGAAAUUCCUUGUCGGGUAAGUUCCGACCUGCACGAAUGGCGUAAUGAUGGCCAGGCUGUCUCCACCCGAGACUCAGUGAAAUUGAACUCGCUGUGAAGAUGCAGUGUACCCGCGGCAAGACGGAAAGACCCCGUGAACCUUUACUAUAGCUUGACACUGAACAUUGAGCCUUGAUGUGUAGGAUAGGUGGGAGGCUUUGAAGUGUGGACGCCAGUCUGCAUGGAGCCGACCUUGAAAUACCACCCUUUAAUGUUUGAUGUUCUAACGUUGACCCGUAAUCCGGGUUGCGGACAGUGUCUGGUGGGUAGUUUGACUGGGGCGGUCUCCUCCUAAAGAGUAACGGAGGAGCACGAAGGUUGGCUAAUCCUGGUCGGACAUCAGGAGGUUAGUGCAAUGGCAUAAGCCAGCUUGACUGCGAGCGUGACGGCGCGAGCAGGUGCGAAAGCAGGUCAUAGUGAUCCGGUGGUUCUGAAUGGAAGGGCCAUCGCUCAACGGAUAAAAGGUACUCCGGGGAUAACAGGCUGAUACCGCCCAAGAGUUCAUAUCGACGGCGGUGUUUGGCACCUCGAUGUCGGCUCAUCACAUCCUGGGGCUGAAGUAGGUCCCAAGGGUAUGGCUGUUCGCCAUUUAAAGUGGUACGCGAGCUGGGUUUAGAACGUCGUGAGACAGUUCGGUCCCUAUCUGCCGUGGGCGCUGGAGAACUGAGGGGGGCUGCUCCUAGUACGAGAGGACCGGAGUGGACGCAUCACUGGUGUUCGGGUUGUCAUGCCAAUGGCACUGCCCGGUAGCUAAAUGCGGAAGAGAUAAGUGCUGAAAGCAUCUAAGCACGAAACUUGCCCCGAGAUGAGUUCUCCCUGACUCCUUGAGAGUCCUGAAGGAACGUUGAAGACGACGACGUUGAUAGGCCGGGUGUGUAAGCGCAGCGAUGCGUUGAGCUAACCGGUACUAAUGAACCGUGAGGCUUAACCUUACAACGCCGAAG
RNAcentral lists this ribosomal RNA (2925 nucleotides) under Escherichia coli. RNAcentral describes it as "23S ribosomal RNA". It matches the Rfam family "Bacterial large subunit ribosomal RNA". Lineage: Bacteria; Pseudomonadati; Pseudomonadota; Gammaproteobacteria; Enterobacterales; Enterobacteriaceae. The record is from RNAcentral.